Meriones unguiculatus (Mongolian gerbil) is the source of this 7985-nucleotide long non-coding RNA. RefSeq lists it as uncharacterized. The record is from RefSeq and is a predicted model, not a curated record. The transcript is spliced from 2 exons. Lineage: Eukaryota; Metazoa; Chordata; Mammalia; Rodentia; Muridae.
CUCCUGCCUGUGUCCAUGUUUAGGUGCACUAGCCGGGGCAACUGCUCUCCCCUCUCGGCUGCCCUGGUGAGCCAAGCAGCUUGGGGGCUCCGGGCGUGCAGAGCACGGAGAAGGGCCGGGCACCAGCAGGCAGGGUUCUGUGAGCUAAGGUUUGUUAGGGUCCCACCUAUUGCACAGAAGAGGAAAUCAAACCUUCAUGGGGGCGGGCCAGCCUCCCUGCUUCUGUGUGGAGGCCUCUCUACUUGUGGUUCUCCAGCUGUGGGUCUCCUCAGCUACUGAAAUUGCCUUGCUGGGGCCUCUGCUUCCCCUUUCCACACCUGCCCUGAACCUCCAGGGCCUUGAGAGCCACAGGCAGCAACCCUGAGGUGCUGGCCACGCUCUGUUCCACGGGGUGAGGCUAUGACACUCUGCUUUUCGGGCUAGACUCCACAGUCUGAGCCUCAGGUUCAAAGUUCUCUGUGUGUGCACCACCCUCACCUUGUAGACAUACCCCUGCCCCCUGCGGCAUUUCAGUGACGUGCUCCGGGAGCAGCUCGACUCUGCCGGUUUUUGCCACAGAAGGAUUACUUCAGGCGAGUUCCAAAGAGCAGGCUGACAAGGACUGACAAAGGACCUGGGCCAGUUCAAGGCUUGGCUCUGCCCUUGACUUUUACACAGGUGAGCACAUCUCGAUCUUCCUAGAGACUCAGUUUACCUGUCUGUAAGAUGGACCCAUAGGACGCGGCUUCCCUGGGUCUUGAGGAACUGACUCCAGCUUGUGGACCUUGCUGAGGUACCCUACUGAGAUUCAGCCCAGAAGGAGCAUCUGCAGCCAGGGUGGCCUGCUACCAUGCCCAAACAGGUGCCCCAGAACCCGCACUGUGCGUGGUGCUAAGCGCGGGCGACUGAAUCAGGGGACAGCUCCCCCCUCCCACCUCUGCGAGAACAGCCUCAGAAGGGCUGGCAUGUACCGGCUAGGGCGGAGGGGCUGAGCUCUAGACUCCAGAGCGGUCCCUCCUCCGCACGGUGAGUCUGAUGGUGGGCCUAGCGCGGGGUCACAAGCCUGGCACACUGCUGGGUGGCUCGGGCCACUUCAGGCUCCUUUGGUACAAGCCGCUCCCCAUGUCCUCUCUGCUUUGCACCUCAGUGUGCCCCGAUCUCUUUUGCUUACCCACUGGCCCCUGAGGGCUCUGGGGAUUGAUGGUGGCUGGCCUGGAGAUACUCCCUUUCCAAAACCUCCUUUCUCAUCUGACUAAGGUGGGGCCUGGGGCUGGAGAGUGUACCCCAACAACCUCAGGGAAGUGCUCUGUGAAGACAGAGUGAAGACACUAGUCCCUGCCGCAGCCCCUCUGUUCCCGCUGGGCCUGGAAACUCCAGGUCUGCUGAGCUGUGGUCAGGUGUCCCCACCCGUGAGAGCUCUGUGUGCUGACAGGCAUUGUGUGAGGUGAGGCCCCGAGGCCCCUGGAACUUGACGCACUGCAGCCCUAGGCAGGGGUCCCUGCCCCGGAGCUUCCAAAGCAGAUUCUGCCCACCUCAACUUGCCUUAGGUGGCCAAAGGGGGAGGGGGCUCAGGACAACGAGGUGGGUGGUGGGAAAACUGGGGCGGAUGCUCUCUGCGCAGCACGAGGGUCUAUCUGGCUCACGUGGCCACACUCUAUCCACCAGCCGCCAUGGACCAGAGUGGUGCUGGGGUCGCAGGCCCAAGCUGCUUCGUAACUGUGGUGCAGAGGGCAGUUCCUUCCCAACUCCUGAAAAGCAGAUGAGCCCUUUAUUGCUCUAUUAUAACAUGGAGCCAGAUGGUCUUUUGGGAGCUACCCUCCUCAAUCCCCCCGCCGCCGCCCUCGUUCAUUCAGAAGCAGGCCCCGGCACUAAUGCCGCGGGCUGGGCACGCUUCCCGCGCGGCCGCUGCCACCACAGUGUGGGAACCGUGGUCUAGAGGAGUGCGGUGACACAGCCAGGGAGGCAGGCCGUCAGGCCUAGGCCAGGGGCUGUUGUCCCACCCUCGGCUCAGUCUCGAGACAAGAUAUGGAACCCUCCCCAGAUGCCAUCCUUGUCUCUCCCCAGCUAUGCAGCCUGUUGCACCACGUUUAACACACACUUCUGCAAAGUGGGGGUAACGGUGGGUUCCCUCAGUUGGUUUAGGGGGUCAGAGGCAGGUAGCUGGCAGGUGUGGAGUAUCAGGGCCCCAUUGCCCUCCAAGAAUGGUAUUUGCAUUCUGAAACAACCAACAUCCAAAUAAGAAUGUUCUGUCAUCUGACACAAGGCGUGAGGCUGAAACAUCGGGGUAGCUGAUGAAAUCUUGUGUGCGGCCAUCCCUCACCUGUGCCUACCUUGAUGUAGACCAGAGGAGGGUCAGGGAGGCACCACCCACCCAGACUGGAGUAGUCCUGCAGCCUUUACAGGAAACAGCUGUCCUCACUCCCACUCCAAGGACUUUUUACUUUUUCACUCUCAUGAGGUUGGCAUGUAGACUUCCACUGGAGGACCAGCUGCUUUUUACCAAGUGGCAUUGCCUCCAGAGGUCCAGCACCGUCAUACCCAUUGGACAGGUAAACAAACUAAGGCACAGAGGAGUUCAAGGCCAAACUGCCAGAUGGUGGCUCAGGUCGGAGUGGAAGGACUGGGGUUGAGGCAGGGAGGGGAAGCCUUGGGCCUUGGCAGAAAGGACACAGGAGGUUCCUGAAGCUCUUCUCCUAGGGUCUGGGGUUGCCCCCAGUCCUGGUCUCCAGCAUUAGAAGUUCCUGUUGCCCAUCUCCAGCUAGAGGAUGGAGCCCCUCAGAUUUUCAGGGUCACAGGGACCGCCUGAGGAAACAUGGGCCACCCUGCUUCCAGAGGGGAACAUAAUCCAGAGUGAGUAGCAGCUGUAAAGAAGCAAGAAGGCCUUUGGGCGAUGACAGCUGAUCACACCCAAACAUAGGCAGAAGACCAAGGGCCUGUCAGGGAUUGGGGGCCUGGGCAAUGCCUGGGAUGGCCUCCAUAGCAGAGCAAUUCCCCAGAAUACUGUAGAAUGGGGACUCUAGGGCCCUGAUGGGAGGUCCCUUCUGCCACCUUGGCUAACAGAAUAUUGACACGCACGCCACCUCCACCACCCUGCUGGUAACAUGUGAGAUGGGCAGGACCCAAACUCAGUCAGACUGUGUCUCUGGGAGACUCUGCCAUCUAGGGAGAUACAGAUAGGACUCAGCCAUAACCCAGUGAAUACUUCAUCCUGACCCAUUAAUAUACCUCUCUUUCUUUCCUCCAUUUUGUUUGUUUGUUUGUAUUUUUUUUUCAAGACAGAAUUUCUCUAUGUAGCCCAGUUGUCCUGGAACUUGCUCUGUAGACCAGGCUGGCCUCCAAAUGCAGACAUUCCCUGCCUCUGCCUCCUGAGGACUGGGGUUAAAGGUGUAUGCCACCUGGCUCCUAGUCCCUCUCUUGAUGUCCAACUCCAACUCCCUCUUGGGACCUGAGGUGCUCCGAGGCUCCUAGCUCAUGUUCUCAUUGGGCAGCCAGGACCAGCUCUGAGAGACAGGGCUUCUGGGCCAGUGUGAGGCUCUCCAUAACCAGCAUAGAGGACCCACACCCGAGGCCCUCUGUCCAGCACCCCCGACAGCACUGGGUGAGUGGGGUCUCCUGGGCCCUGGAGCACAGAUGCAGACGACGGUAGAGGGAGCUUUGCCAGCUCCUCCAGCUUCUGGCACAGGAGGAUGCAGGGCAGACUGGCCAUCUCCCACAGAGCAGUACCCACUUACUUGCUUUGAUAAGUGGCCCCUAGGUGCCAGGUUCUGGAGCUUGGUCUCAGAGUGUGGAGUGGACAGAUGAAGGGACUGGGCAAAAGAGGGGCCUUGAGCUGCUGCUCAGAUCUGGAGGGCCUCCUCCCUUAGCCUCCUAGCCCGCUCCCAGGACUGAGACUCCACCUGGAAAUGCCCAAGUUGGUCCCAGAGUUCCCUGAUCUUUCCACAGGUGUCCUGAGCAGACGUUGGCUUCUCCACCCUAAAGUCAUCUCCUCAGGAGAGCAAGCAGCCCUGCCAGCCCCGCUUCCUGCUUCUCUGCAGGCGAUGGGGAGAAGGGAGACAGACAUUUCUGUAUUGCGCGGAACCCCGUAUGUCUACCUGAGGCCACACGGUGGGGCCGAAGAGUGCCAAGGCAGCACCUAGGGCUGGUUCUGUCUUCUUUCCAGGGUGCAGCCAACAUACAUACACACACAGAGAGAGAGAGAGAGAGAGAGAGAGGACAGACAGACAGAAAGGCAGAGAGGAGAGAGAUAGAGACAGAGAGAACAUGAAUGAAUGAAUGAUUUGGGCGGGAGGCCCGCUCCGGGUGGGUUCCCACACCCUACUCCUGCCUUAGACAUUCAUCCCCCACAAAAGGCGCGUGCGCGGCAACAAACUCGUUCGCCAUGGGGCCGCCUGGGCUUUGUGAGCCAAGAUCCUGGCCCCAGAGGCCAUCUGGGAGCAGUCCUCAGGGCAGGCAGGGCGGGGGCUCCCCCACUAGGUGGCCUUUGAGGCCCCGGCCAGCGGCAACAGCUCCCUGGCAACCCGGUGGAUGUCAGCACAUCUGGCCUUGAGUGCCCUGGAGUUCUCACAGCUCUUGUGUCACACUAAAAGUGUGAGGAGGGUACUCUAAAGGAGGCUUGCCUCCUGCCCUACCCAUGAGUCUAAAAGGGCUGUGAGCACAGGGUUCAAAGCCAUGAGCUGCCACUAUAGAGGUUGAACUGCCUGGGCCUCAGUUUUCUCAUCUGUGGAAUGGGGCUGAUGGUGGGCCCAGCCCAGCUGUGUUCUCAGCCUGGUAGACAGAGGAGACUUUGGAGUGGCCUUGGAAUCAGGGCUGCUGGAGAGCUAUUUUCCUGAGCCUGGCACUGCCAGGAUCUUCGUUUGGUUUCCCAGUGGUUGACACAUACUUGUGCUCUAGGCUGGGAUGUAGUUGGUGAGUCAGGGAGAGUCCAGAGUGACAGGCGACAGCCACAUGUGAUCCUCUCCAGGCCCCAACUCUGAGCGAGGUGGGGGUCGUUCUGCUCAGCUUGUGUGCUGUCUGUGUUAACAAAGUGUACCUCUCCCUGCCGAGCCUCUGGCUAUGGGCCUGCCUAGGGUGGAGAGAAGAGAGAGCUAGGACUCAGGUGGGUGCAAGGCCUCUGUUGCCCCUGGCAGCUCUGCCUGAGCAGUGAGCGUUUCCAAGCCUGGGCAGCUGGGUGGGGGCGGGGGGGUACAGUGCUCAGGGGUCUUCCCUCUUAAGAACAUUUCCUGGCCAAAGGGCUUCUGGGGCCAGAGCCUGGUGGACAGACCCUCAUGGGGGUGUCCCUGCCCCCAACCUUCCUGGGGAGGGUCCUUGAGAGGCUGUCCUGCUGGCUAGAGAUAAUCCCAGCUUUUGAGAGGCUGUGAGAGGCUGGCCCGGGGACUUUCCCACAGCCCCACAUAAAGGGCUGGGCGCCAGCUGCUCUCCCACAAAAGACGCCCGGCCAUUCAGGGCCUCCAGGCAGGGGGGGUGGGCGAAGCGGCUACCACAGCCUACCUGGCCACCCUCACGCCAGACCAAGUGCACGGGGAGGCUCCUCCCUGUUGACCGGUGGGAGUCCAGCAUGUCCCCAGAGCUGGGGACCUCACCACAGCUUUAUAGAUCUACACAGGUCGCCACCCCUCCCUUUUGCCCAAGACUGGCACCGUUCCUGGGCUCCAUCACUCAUCCCCAAAAGGACUCCCAGGAAGGCCCUGCACACUCUUGCCGUUCUGCCUGGCACAGUGCCUCCGCUCUUCCCCUGCCAUCACUGGGCUGCCCUGUCUCUCUCCUCCUGCCACACGUGCUGCCUAGAGCCACACGGGCUGGCACGCUUCCUGCUCCCUGGCUUGCCCACACUGUUCUCACCCCAGCAUUCACUUCCUCCCUCUCAGCAACCCAAGCUGCCACUCAGGGUGAGGGACAGGCGCAUGGUGCUCCUGUCUGGACAAGGCCUUCUCUGCACACCUCAGGCGCCUUGUCUGGUAGGAGGAGCAUAAACACCCCAUCUCUGGGCAAGGGGAAGAGACUCUCAACUUUACCUGCUCAGAAAUACCACGCUGGGGAUAGCGGUGCACUUGUAAUCUCAGCAUUCAGGAGGCAGGAAUAUCGGGAGUUUAACGUUAUCCUCGGCAACAGUGAGUCCAAAGCCAGCUUGGCCCACGUGACCAAAAACCAAAAGCAAAAACCAGACAAAAAAGAAAGGGAGCAAUUCCCCAAGUCACAGAGAUGCUGAGGGGAGGAGAGAGGGCCCCCCUUCCUCUAGGAGCUAGCUACCUGACCGACACUAGGGCGACUUUUUGCCGUAAGGACUAGCCGGGCAUAGGGAUGUGUGGUUUCCUGAAGAAAGUGACACUGGAGUGUUGAGCAUGUGGUGGAGGAGGCUAGGGACCUCUGGGAAUGAUGGUUUUGACAUUUCUAGGGCUAUUCUUGAAGUCAUUAAAAAACUGAUUAAUCAGCCAGGUGUGGUGGCACAUACCUAUAAUCUCAGUAGAGGCAGGCGGAUCUCUGUGAGUUUGAGGCCAGCCUGGUCUACAAAGUGAGUCCAGGACAGCCAAGGCUACACAGAGGAACCCUGUCUCAAAAAACCAAAAAAAAAAAAAAAAAAAAAAAAACACAAAAAUAUUAAGUGUGUAUGUCCAUGUCCUCAGACAAGUUGUAUGGCCAGAUGGACAACAAGAGGGCACUUGUCCUUUGACUUUCCAAUAGGAAGCUGGGGCCAGGGCAGGAGCUGCUGGUGACACUGAUCUCUGAUAUCCUACUGCACUGUGCAAGGCAGUCACAACUUUCUCGGGGGCGUGGAAGGUAAGAUCCGAGGGCAAGAAGCCCAGUAGCGGGACCUCCGUGCAGCCCAGGACCUUGUCUCUGCUGAUCUCCACCCCUCACUGCUGAUGGAGGAUGGCCCGGCCCCUCUGUGGGAAGGUUCAUGGUCUGUUGUCCAAUCCCAGAUCCCCAUUGGCUCCUGGGCGUGGGAAAGCACGAGAGCCCACACCAACCCCUCACCCCCCUGCCGAAAAGGCACAGUGGCCUCCCGUUCUGGGUGUUUGCGGAGUCUCAGGCUCCAGGAGUGAAGCGUGAGCCUGGUGCUUGCAGUGCGGGUCUAUCAGGGACCUGGAGGCAGCCUGGGAUCUCCUGAUGGAGAUUUGUGGGGUGGGGCGGGCAGUAGCCCUGCCAUAGCCGCAGACAGAGAGGCUGCAUCCCUGGACGCCUCAGCCUGGUGGGGGCAGUGGCUGGCUGUGGCCCCCGCCUUGGUUCACCCGCCUCUGGCCCCCUCCUCUUACAUAGAAGAGGGGAUUGGGAAAGGAAAGGUCAGAGCCACCCUGGCUUUCUUUCUGCACCAAGUGCUAACCCCGGUGACAGGAGAUCCCUGCUGUCACCCAAGUGCAGUGUGCUGGAGCAGCCCCUGUCCACAGGGGACAGGAUGGAGACCUGGUGGCUGUGGCACCAGGCCCUUGGAAUCAGAGGUGAAGGCCAAGGUUGCUGCCGUGGCUCUUUCUGUGGCUGGACUCUGUGUUCUGCUGUCCAGACUGGCUCCAGCGCAGGCCUGCACCGUGGUCAGGCUGCUGUUCUAGCAGGAACGUCUGGCUGUUGACCCCCCUGGAUCUGAUCUCUGACCCUUCAGUACUGGAAUUACAGACGCGUGCCACCAUGCCCAGCGAGAACUAGUGAGCCAAACUCAGAUCCAGCCGGUUCUCCACUCUCUGUCUCUCCGGCCCUGCUUCUGGUACCUGUAAAUGUUCGUGCACAUACCUGUGUUUAGCUUGGUUAUGUGCCUGGGAAUUGACAUGCUGGUCACAUGAAUGGCGUGAGUCUAACUGUAAGAUUUCACCACACCGUUGUCCAAAGUGGCUGCACCAUCUCCCACCUCACCAAGAGUCCCUGUGAGUUCUCAUUGCCCCACAUCCUCAGGGCGCUGGGUUGGGUCAGGGUCUUCUGACGGUGGGAAGGCCCCUGUGGUGGUCUUAACCUGAAUUUUCCUAAUCUCUAACUGCGCGGAGUCUCUUGUAUUCUUCAGUAAAGUUGGAUUUUAAAAAAGA